This 301-nucleotide ribosomal RNA is filed under the name uncultured bacterium. RNAcentral describes it as "partial 16S ribosomal RNA". It matches the Rfam family "Bacterial small subunit ribosomal RNA", at positions 509 to 807 of the family's 1533-position model. The record is from RNAcentral.
CAGCAGCCGCGGGAAUACGAAGGGGGCUAGCGUUGCUCGGAAUCACUGGGCGUAAAGGGUGCGUAGGCGGGUCUUUAAGUCAGGGGUGAAAUCCUGGAGCUCAACUCCAGAACUGCCUUUGAUACUGAAGAUCUUGAGUUCGGGAGAGGUGAGUGGAACUGCGAGUGUAGAGGUGAAAUUCGUAGAUAUUCGCAAGAACACCAGUGGCGAAGGCGGCUCACUGGCCCGAUGCUGACGCUGAGGCACGAAAGCGUGGGGAGCAAACAGGAUUAGAUACCCGCGUAGUCCCUGUCUCUUAUAC